Molecule: ribosomal RNA, 451 nt
Filed under: uncultured organism
Description: partial 16S ribosomal RNA
Rfam family: Bacterial small subunit ribosomal RNA
Source: RNAcentral
ACACUCCUACGGGAGGCAGCAGUGGGGAAUAUUGGACAAUGGGCGCAAGCCUGAUCCAGCCAUGCCGCGUGAGUGAUGAAGGCCCUAGGGUUGUAAAGCUCUUUCACCGGUGAAGAUAAUGACGGUAACCGGAGAAGAAGCCCCGGCUAACUUCGUGCCAGCAGCCGCGGUAAUACGAAGGGGGCUAGCGUUGUUCGGAUUUACUGGGCGUAAAGCGCACGUAGGCGGACUAUUAAGUCAGGGGUGAAAUCCCGGGGCUCAACCCCGGAACUGCCUUUGAUACUGGUAGGCUUGAGUUCGAGAGAGGUGAGUGGAAUUCCGAGUGUAGAGGUGAAAUUCGUAGAUAUUCGGAGGAACACCAGUGGCGAAGGCGGCUCACUGGCUCGAUACUGACGCUGAGGUGCGAAAGCGUGGGGAGCAAACAGGAUUAGAAACCCCUGUAGUCCCAUGA